GCAAAAAUUGCUAGAACCUCUUGCAACUUGAACAAUAGAAUAGAAAGUAAUGCCUAAUUGAACAACCUUUCACUGUGAAGGCUGCACAUGGCAUGUAUAUAAAUUAGAGUAAUCGUUUAUGAGGAAAGUUAAGAUACUUUGUAAGCCAUCAUCUAUAUUGAGUGUGUAUGGGUUGAGGUCCUGAGGAUGCUAAUUGAGGUAAAUGGGGUAGAAUAGUGGUUGGUGUUUUUGAUUUCUCAUCCAGCUUAUGUAAUCUGUUUAUGAUUAGAAUCAACUCCCUAACCUUAUUAAUGCUGUUACUCUUUUGUUGCAUUUGAGACCUUUUGCUGUUCACCUAGAUAUUUAUGGGCAAUAGAAAUUAAAUUUGUUGGGCUAAUCUAAACAUUUCAUAUUUUUUUAAAUCAAGCUAUGUUGAGCUGAAAUUCGUUUAUGUUUUCUUUUUUAAACCUUUCCUGCAGCAAAUCAGAACAUGUAAUCUACAAGCUCAAAGAGAUGGGAAAGAUCGGGGAGAAAGAUAUAUUGCAGAUA
RNAcentral lists this unclassified non-coding RNA (528 nucleotides) under Hevea brasiliensis (rubber tree). Lineage: Eukaryota; Viridiplantae; Streptophyta; Magnoliopsida; Malpighiales; Euphorbiaceae. The record is from RNAcentral.